This 497-nucleotide ribosomal RNA is filed under the name uncultured bacterium. RNAcentral's name for it is "partial 16S ribosomal RNA". It matches the Rfam family "Bacterial small subunit ribosomal RNA", at positions 28 to 507 of the family's 1533-position model. The record is from RNAcentral.
GAUGAACGCUGGCGGCGUGCCUAAUACAUGCAAGUCGAGCGAACGGACGAGAAGCUUGCUUCUCUGAUGUUAACGGCGGACGGGUGAGUAACACGUGGAUAACCUACCUAUAAGACUGGGAUAACUUCGGGAAACCGGAGCUAAUACCGGAUAAUAUUUUGAACCGCAUGGUUCAAAAGUAAAAGACGGUCUUGCUGUCACUUAUAGAUGGAUCCGCGCUGCAUUAGCUAGUUGGUAAGGUAACGGCUUACCAAGGCAACGAUGCAUAGCCGACCUGAGAGGGUGAUCGGACACACUGGAACUGAGACACGGUCCAGACUCCUACGGGAGGCAGCAGUAGGGAAUCUUCCGCAAUGGGCGAAAGCCUGACGGAGCAACGCCGCGUGAGUGAUGAAGGUCUUCGGAUCGUAAAACUCUGUUAUUAGGGAAGAACAUAUGUGUAAGUAACUGUGCACAUCUUGACGGUACCUAAUCAGAAAGCCACGGCUAACUACGUG